Molecule: ribosomal RNA, 465 nt
Filed under: uncultured Klebsiella sp.
Lineage: Bacteria; Pseudomonadati; Pseudomonadota; Gammaproteobacteria; Enterobacterales; Enterobacteriaceae
Description: bacterial SSU rRNA
Rfam family: Bacterial small subunit ribosomal RNA
Source: RNAcentral
CCUACGGGCGGCUGCAGUGGGGAAUAUUGCACAAUGGGCGCAAGCCUGAUGCAGCCAUGCCGCGUGUGUGAAGAAGGCCUUCGGGUUGUAAAGCACUUUCAGCGGGGAGGAAGGCGGUGAGGUUAAUAACCUCAUCGAUUGACGUUACCCGCAGAAGAAGCACCGGCUAACUCCGUGCCAGCAGCCGCGGUAAUACGGAGGGUGCAAGCGUUAAUCGGAAUUACUGGGCGUAAAGCGCACGCAGGCGGUCUGUCAAGUCGGAUGUGAAAUCCCCGGGCUCAACCUGGGAACUGCAUUCGAAACUGGCCGGCUAGAGUCUUGUAGAGGGGGGUAGAAAUCCAGGUGUAGCGGUGAAAUGCGUAGAGAUCUGGAGGAAUACCGGUGGCGAAGGCGGCCCCCUGGACAAAGACUGACGCUCAGGUGCGAAAGCGUGGGGAGCAAACAGGAUUAGAUACCCGGGUAGUC